CCUACGGGGGGCAGCAGUGGGGAAUAUUGGACAAUGGGGGGAACCCUGAUCCAGCGACGCCGCGUGAGUGAAGAAGUAUUUCGGUAUGUAAAGCUCUAUCAGCAGGGAAGAAAAUGACGGUACCUGACUAAGAAGCCCCGGCUAACUACGUGCCAGCAGCCGCGGUCAUACGUAGGGGGCAAGCGUUAUCCGGAUUUACUGGGUGUAAAGGGAGCGUAGACGGUGCAGCAAGUCUGAUGGGAAAGGUCGGGGCCCAACCCCGGGACUGUGUUGGAAACUGUUGAACUGGAGUACAGGAGAGGUAAGCGGAAUUCCUAGGGUAGCGGUGAAAUGCGGAGAUAUUAGGAGGAACACCAGUGGCGAAGGCGGCUGACUGGACUGUAACUGACGUUGAGGCUCGAAAGCGUGGGGAGCAAACAGGAUUAGAUACCCGAGUAGUC
This 440-nucleotide ribosomal RNA is filed under the name uncultured bacterium. RNAcentral's name for it is "partial 16S ribosomal RNA". It matches the Rfam family "Bacterial small subunit ribosomal RNA", at positions 338 to 795 of the family's 1533-position model. The record is from RNAcentral.